Long non-coding RNA from Neogale vison (American mink), 2323 nucleotides. RefSeq lists it as uncharacterized. The transcript is spliced from 4 exons. NCBI's taxonomy places the organism in Eukaryota, Metazoa, Chordata, Mammalia, Carnivora, Mustelidae. The record is from RefSeq and is a predicted model, not a curated record.
UCCUUAGCCCAUUUAAGAGGAGUGGUUUGGUGGCAGACUCUGUGGCGGAGGACAGCUCCUCCCUGGGCCUUACACAAGGCGGGAGCACAGGGCCCUUGAGCGCCGGGGCCAGGAGCUCCAGGGCUGUUGUGACCGAGGGGUUGAAAGGCUGCUGUGGACUAAAGGUUACCGACUGCCCUGCUCACCCCUUAUCAGCCACCCUGCGGCAAUAAGACUAAUGCGCUAGAUUAAACCGUGGGCAGAGGGAAACUCCUAAAGCAAGAAUACAGAUGGGAAACCUAAAGAGAUGAUCCAUUUACAUCCUCAAGAAGACAAUAGUGUAAAGCCUCAGACUCUACAAACCAAUCAGGAAGACAGCAGAGAGUGAGAGAGAGCACAAGUCAGGGGAGAAGGAGAAAGAGUAAUUCAUUCCCCACUGAGCAAGGAGCCUGAUGUGAGCCCGUACCAGGACUUUGAAAUUAUGACCUAAACUGUGGUCAGAUGCUUAACUGACUGAGCCACCCAGGCACUCCUGGAUUAGUCAAUUACAACAUGCACCACACUUUGUAUUUAUGGACUGCAGUUUUGGCCAUAAUGUUCUCCAGGAGCAGGGCUGAUCAUCUGUGGCAAGAUCCGGUAGACAAGAAAUGAGUCAGAAUCUGCACCCUGUGCCCAAGCCAGGUGCAAGGGCCGAGAGGGUGACACGGGUAAAGAGGCAGAUUCAAAGACACAGCUGCACGCUAAAGGACAUGAGAAUGUUCAAAGAUGACGCAGGUAACAAAUGAUGUUGGGCAAUCUUGUGAGGUGGAGAGAGGAACACCGAGGGAUCAGGUAGCAGUAAUAAUAGGGGGUGUCAGGUGAGUGGCUGGGCCUCCACAGGGAUCUGUCCCCUGGUGGGAGGACAGUCAUCCUGGCCUUAAGCAUGGCCGGGGAAGUGUUUGGACAUCUUGGACUCUAUGGUAUCUUCUGCAAAUCGUGACUGCAGUAGGGGGAGGACAUGCUCUCAGAGGCAGAGCCUCGUCCAAACUACCAGCUCCUGUUUACUCUCCCUGCCAUGGCCUGGCUCAGAGAAAAGAGAGAAGAUAUAUUUUGUGUGUUAUGAGGGACCUCUAUGUUUCUGGAACAAGGCUCUUUCUAUUUAGUUGCUCAAUGGUGAGAACACUUUUCCUUUGGCAAAAAAAAGGCGACGAAGAAAGGUCAACUUCUUCAUUAAUCUCUCUCUUAUCUACUCAGUGUCUCAACUUUGGCCGUAUUUUCUUGGGCCCUACACAGCAACCACUUCAAGGAGGGCAGAAACACGUCUUAUGAACUCGUAAUUAUGUAUCACCAUUUUAAGCAGUAUCACCAUUUUAAGCAGCAAAUUCUUGGGUCGUUCCCUUGUCACCCAUGCUGUCACCUGAAUAAAAAUAUCCUGCUAUUUCAGUGCCCUUCCUUGACAAAGUACCACAGAGCUGAGGAACAUCUUGAAUCACAAUGUUGUUGGAAAGGAGCCUAUUCAACAGAGUAAGAUGUGAGAAUCAUACAAUGACAGACGUGACCUCGCAGACACCAGACAUGUGCCCAAGAAGAUGCUGACACAUUCCCAGGAGCCCGUAAAAACUCCCUCCUCUUAGCCUGGAUUACUGUCAGUCCUCCUGCUCUCCCCUGCUGAAUGCACACCUCAGCUAGUAAGGGGAAAAGACUGCACUCAGGGUUUAUAAAUAGUCUCAGUUACGUAAAGGAAGACGGCGUCACUUUGGAUUUCUGUUUACAAGUUUGUGAUUUCCCUUUCUCACUUUCAAAUAAAUGUUUAUACUAUGGAAUGGGCUCAUUAAUGAGAGGAUCAAAAUCCAGGAGGAAGAAAUGAAAAACAAAUAAGUCACACAUAAUUAUACUAUUCAGUGAUAACAACUGUUAAUAUUUUGCUUUUGGCUAACCUUUCUUCAUACAUGUUUGCUUCUUUAUACACAGAUCUUUCUUAAUAGUCACUUUUUCUUCUGUAGAGCAAAAUCUAUUAGAACAGAAAAAUAUAGCUAGAUCCGUUUUUGCUAUCACUAGGAAAAAAGUAUUUUCUGUUUAUUAUAUACAAUGCUGAAGCAAUAACAGUGUCUUUUGUUUAGACAGAAGGGGGAGAGGUUUUCAAGAGAAACAUCUUAAACAAUGAGAUCUGGGUAUUUCCUAAGCUCUAUUUCAAAAGCAAUUUGUACUGUGUGUCUGAAACAUACUAACUUAAAUAAAAGGAUAACUUUAUUAUAAAGCAAGUGACUUACUUUUUGUAUAGAUUCAGAAUAUACCCAAUAAACUAGGAAACCCUGAAUUUAAGAAUUGCAACAUUAAUGUACAGGUCUCUAAAUAAGUGGUCCUG